Molecule: ribosomal RNA, 497 nt
Filed under: uncultured bacterium
Lineage: Bacteria
Description: partial 16S ribosomal RNA
Rfam family: Bacterial small subunit ribosomal RNA
Source: RNAcentral
GAUGAACGCUGGCGGCGUGCCUAAUACAUGCAAGUCGAGCGAACAGACGAGGAGCUUGCUCCUCUGACGUUAGCGGCGGACGGGUGAGUAACACGUGGAUAACCUACCUAUAAGACGGGGAUAACUUCGGGAAACCGGAGCUAAUAGCGGAUAAUAUAUUGAACCGCAUGGUUCAAUAGUGAAAGACGGUUUUGCUGUCACUUAUAGAUGGAUCCGCGCCGCAUUAGCUAGUUGGUAAGGUAACGGCUUACCAAGGCAACGAUGCGUAGCCGACCUGAGAGGGUGAUCGGCCACACUGGAACUGAGCCACGGUCCAGACUCCUACGGGAGGCAGCAGUAGGGAAUCUUCCGCAAUGGGCGAAAGCCUGACGGAGCGACGCCGCGUGAGUGAUGAAGGUCUUCGGAUCGUAAAACUCUGUUAUUAGGGAAGAACAAAUGUGUAAGUAACUAUGCACGUCUUGACGGUACCUAAUCAGAAAGCCACGGCUAACUACGUG